AAAACUUUAAGUUAAAAAAACUAAUAGCCUUCAAAGUUAUAAAUAAAAGGCAUAUCUUUUAAGUUUUA
Molecule: transfer RNA, 68 nt
Filed under: Chironomus nippodorsalis
Lineage: Eukaryota; Metazoa; Arthropoda; Insecta; Diptera; Chironomidae
Description: tRNA-Trp
Source: RNAcentral